Molecule: ribosomal RNA, 586 nt
Filed under: uncultured bacterium
Lineage: Bacteria
Description: partial 16S ribosomal RNA
Rfam family: Bacterial small subunit ribosomal RNA
Source: RNAcentral
UGGGGAAUUUUGGACAAUGGGCGAAAGCCUGAUCCAGCAAUGCCGCGUGUGUGAAGAAGGCCUUCGGGUUGUAAAGCACUUUUGUCCGGAAAGAAAUCCUUGGCUCUAAUACAGUCGGGGGAUGACGGUACCGGAAGAAUAAGCACCGGCUAACUACGUGCCAGCAGCCGCGGUAAUACGUAGGGUGCAAGCGUUAAUCGGAAUUACUGGGCGUAAAGCGUGCGCAGGCGGUUUGCUAAGACCGAUGUGAAAUCCCCGGGCUCAACCUGGGAACUGCAUUGGUGACUGGCAGGCUAGAGUAUGGCAGAGGGGGGUAGAAUUCCACGUGUAGCAGUGAAAUGCGUAGAGAUGUGGAGGAAUACCGAUGGCGAAGGCAGCCCCCUGGGCCAAAUACUGACGCUCAUGCACGAAAGCGUGGGGAGCAAACAGGAUUAGAUACCCUGGUAGUCCACGCCCUAAAACGAUGUCAACUAGUUGUUGGGGAUUCAUUUCCUAGUAACGUAGCUAACGCGUGAAGUUGACCGCCUGGGGGGUACGGUCGCAAGAUUAAAACUCAAAGGAAUUGACGGGGUCAUAGCUGUUUCCU